Molecule: small nuclear RNA, 107 nt
Filed under: Myotis brandtii (Brandt's bat)
Lineage: Eukaryota; Metazoa; Chordata; Mammalia; Chiroptera; Vespertilionidae
Source: RNAcentral
GUGCUCGCUUCGGCAGCACAUAUACUAAAUUUGGAAUGAUACAGAGAAGAUUAGCAUGGCCCCUGCACAAGGAUGACACACAAAUUCGUGAAGCGUUCCAUAUUUUU